AGUGAACGCUGGCGGCAGGCCUAACACAUGCAAGUCGAGCGGCAGCGGGUUCCCGCGAGGGGAUGCCGGCGAGCGGCGGACGGGUGAGGAACACAUCGGAAUCUGCCUGGUUGUGGGGGAUAACGUAGGGAAACUUACGCUAAUACCGCAUGCGACCCUGAGUCGACGGACUGGGGGUGAAAGUGAGGGACCUUCGGGCCGUCACGCGACCAGAUGAGCCGAUGUCGGAUAGCUAGUUGGCGGGGUAACGGCCCGCCAAGGCGACGAUCCGUAGCUGGUCUGAGAGGAUGAUCAGCCACACUGGGACUGA
This 310-nucleotide ribosomal RNA is filed under the name uncultured bacterium. Its description in RNAcentral is "bacterial SSU rRNA". It matches the Rfam family "Bacterial small subunit ribosomal RNA", at positions 30 to 322 of the family's 1533-position model. The record is from RNAcentral.